RNAcentral lists this ribosomal RNA (425 nucleotides) under bacterium. RNAcentral describes it as "bacterial SSU rRNA". It matches the Rfam family "Bacterial small subunit ribosomal RNA", at positions 354 to 776 of the family's 1533-position model. The record is from RNAcentral. RNAcentral also lists the same sequence under 1 other name.
GUGAGGAAUAUUGGUCAAUGGGCGGGAGCCUGAACCAGCCAAGUCGCGUGAGGGAAGACGGUCCUAUGGAUUGUAAACCUCUUUAGGCGGGGAGCAAUGCCGGGCACGCGUGCCCGGAGGGAGAGUACCCGCAGAAUAAGCAUCGGCUAACUCCGUGCCAGCAGCCGCGGUAAUACGGAGGAUGCGAGCGUUAUCCGGAUUUAUUGGGUUUAAAGGGUGCGUAGGCGGAUUUUUAAGUCAGCGGUAAAAUGUCCGGGCUCAACCCGGGCCGGCCGUUGAAACUGGGGAUCUUGAGUGGGCGAGAAGUAUGCGGAAUGCGUGGUGUAGCGGUGAAAUGCAUAGAUAUCACGCAGAACUCCGAUUGCGAAGGCAGCAUACCGGCGCCCGACUGACGCUGAGGCACGAAAGCGUGGGGAUCGAACAGG